Molecule: long non-coding RNA, 1404 nt
Filed under: Salmo salar (Atlantic salmon)
Lineage: Eukaryota; Metazoa; Chordata; Actinopteri; Salmoniformes; Salmonidae
Description: lncRNA (ENSSSAG00000100442.1)
Source: RNAcentral
CUUCUAAUGAAAGUGGAUAUGGCUCCCUCCCUCUAUCUUUCUCAUUCUCCCCCUCUCCACUGACAGUGGUAAUUGACUUUCUCUCUCCUCUUGUCUCUUGUUUGUGUGGCCGUGCGAAGGACUGACAAAUGACCCACCAAGCAGCCUGAUGGCCCUAUAUUACCCACUCCCCUAUUUGCUUAAUCCAAAAACAAGAUUCUGGGUCCGUUUCACCUCUCUCUCUCUCUCUCUCUCUCUCUCUCUCUCUCCAGGGAGAUUGAUGGAGUGCUUCACCUCAAUAGCUUGCCUCCGUCUGGGAUAGGGGGAGAAAGGGAGAAGAGAGGAAAGAGCAGAAAAAGAGGAGAAAAGGAGAGGUGAAGCGAAGAGAGGAAAGAAAAUGGGAAAGGUGAUAGAGAGAAGGAGGAGGGAGAGGAAAGAGAGGAGGAAGGGGAUUGAGACAGAGAAGACAUAUGAAAUAAGGAAUGAGCAGUGAGAAGAGAGGAGAGAGAAAAUAAAGUAAGAGGGGGAGGGGUGAGCCUGAUUAAAUGCAGGGUCUGUGUAUGUAUUGGAGUGGAGGAGAGAAAUAAAUAAAGGAAGAGGUAAGGGGUGCCCAAUAAGGGGUAAAUCUGAAUCAGGACAGCACUCUAUCCCCCCCUCCGUCCAUCCUCCCAAAUAUCCCUCAUGUUAAUAUACCCCCAGCGUGGCACUCUGGGUAACAUAACUUUGACCUGUGAAUACGCUAACAACUUAUUUUUUGCACACUGAAGAAUCCAUUAUUUUGCAGAUCUGUUUACAUACAGUCCGAUUGUUUAGAUUAGUCUGAGUGUGUGUACGGGUGUGUGUGUGAGUGUGUGUGUGUGUGUGUGUGUGUGUAAGUGUUUGUGUAUAAGAGCAUGUGUGCAUGCGUGUGACUGUGUGAGCGUCUACAAAAACCUGUGAAUAACACUGAGGCUUCUGGGAAAUGUUGUGGUCAGGGUCAUACUCUGAUAAAACGGCAUGUGUGCAGUCUGCUAGUUUAUCUCAGUGAAAAACACACUAACCGUGUUCUUCAAACAGGCGAGGGGGGAUCACAACUGUCUCUGUCACUUAUACCUUCUUUAACUCCUCAGAAAAAUGGUUUUGCUUCAUAUUGGCGAAAUCAGAAAGCUUCAAACUCGGGAGGACAUCAACAGUAGCUCAACGUGAUGUCUCCUGCCGUGUGUGUGACUGACAUCUUCAUCCUUUAAUAUGUUUCUGCCUAACAGAUCUGCAUUAACUUAUCACCACAGAGCCAGGUAGCAGCGCCGCUCCCAUCCUCCUUUUGAUGUUGUGUUUGUGUACGCGCUGACCGCAAGGACGGGCGCUAAUACACACAUCAAACGCCUUUUACUACUACUGCUUCCCCACCAGGCAGGCAGGCAGGCAGGCAGGCGCACGCACACACAC